This 64-nucleotide transfer RNA is filed under the name Systolederus spicupennis. RNAcentral describes it as "tRNA-Phe". The record is from RNAcentral. Lineage: Eukaryota; Metazoa; Arthropoda; Insecta; Orthoptera; Tetrigidae.
AUUUAAGUAGCUUAUUAGAGCGUUGUGCUGAAGACACAAAGGAGAAUUUAUUAUUUCUUAAGUA